UCGAAAUAUGCAUGACAGAGCUGUCGCUGUCCCUCAAGGGUCGUGCACGCCCAAAGUGCUUUCAUACAAUCCAUCUCACCCCUUUGUGCAUCACCGCGUGGGUUCCUCCCCUUGCGGGGAAGGGCCUGCGUUUUAUCAUAAAACUUGAUACAGUGUAGAAUGUUUAUCUUUGCGGUCACACGCAAUCAAUA
Molecule: unclassified non-coding RNA, 191 nt
Filed under: uncultured Russula
Lineage: Eukaryota; Fungi; Basidiomycota; Agaricomycetes; Russulales; Russulaceae
Description: sequence contains ITS1
Source: RNAcentral